Molecule: non-coding RNA, 30 nt
Filed under: Rattus norvegicus (Norway rat)
Lineage: Eukaryota; Metazoa; Chordata; Mammalia; Rodentia; Muridae
Source: RNAcentral
UGAGGCUUUCCAAGAUGAAAGUAGACUUGU